RNAcentral lists this ribosomal RNA (877 nucleotides) under Alteromonas sp. RNAcentral describes it as "bacterial SSU rRNA". It matches the Rfam family "Bacterial small subunit ribosomal RNA", at positions 62 to 936 of the family's 1533-position model. The record is from RNAcentral. Lineage: Bacteria; Pseudomonadati; Pseudomonadota; Gammaproteobacteria; Alteromonadales; Alteromonadaceae.
UCGAACGGUAACAUUUCUAGCUUGCUAGAAGAUGACGAGUGGCGGACGGGUGAGUAAUGCUUGGGAACUUGCCUUUAGGAGGGGGAUAACAGUUGGAAACGACUGCUAAUACCGCAUAAUGUCUACGGACCAAAGGGGGCUUCGGCUCUCACCUAAAGAGAGGCCCAAGUGAGAUUAGCUAGUUGGUAAGGUAAAAGCUUACCAAGGCGACGAUCUCUAGCUGUUCUGAGAGGAAGAUCAGCCACACUGGGACUGAGACACGGCCCAGACUCCUACGGGAGGCAGCAGUGGGGAAUAUUGCACAAUGGGGGAAACCCUGAUGCAGCCAUGCCGCGUGUGUGAAGAAGGCCUUCGGGUUGUAAAGCACUUUCAGUUGUGAGGAAAGGUUGGUAGUUAAUACCUGCCAGCUGUGACGUUAACAACAGAAGAAGCACCGGCUAACUCCGUGCCAGCAGCCGCGGUAAUACGGAGGGUGCGAGCGUUAAUCGGAAUUACUGGGCGUAAAGCGCACGCAGGCGGUUUGUUAAGCUAGAUGUGAAAGCCCCGGGCUCAACCUGGGAUGGUCAUUUAGAACUGGCAGACUAGAGUCUUGGAGAGGGGAGUGGAAUUCCAGGUGUAGCGGUGAAAUGCGUAGAUAUCUGGAGGAACAUCAGUGGCGAAGGCGGCUCCCUGGCCAAAGACUGACGCUCAUGUGCGAAAGUGUGGGUAGCGAACAGGAUUAGAUACCCUGGUAGUCCACACCGUAAACGCUGUCUACUAGCUGUUUGUGAAUUUAAUUCGUGAGUAGCGAAGCUAACGCGAUAAGUAGACCGCCUGGGGAGUACGGCCGCAAGGUUAAAACUCAAAUGAAUUGACGGGGGCCCGCACAAGCGGUGGA